Oncorhynchus nerka (sockeye salmon) is the source of this 1086-nucleotide long non-coding RNA. RefSeq lists it as uncharacterized. The record is from RefSeq and is a predicted model, not a curated record. The transcript has 2 exons. NCBI's taxonomy places the organism in Eukaryota, Metazoa, Chordata, Actinopteri, Salmoniformes, Salmonidae.
UUUCUGUAGCCUAUAUCUUGUUGUUAUAAAUAAAUAGGGCCUACAGUUUAUGCAACAUAAUUUGUCCCACAGAGGUAAAACAGACAGUCGGUUAACUAAAUGCACUUCAUAUAUCGUUCACGGCAAUAAGAAAACCUCAGCUGGCUACAUUAAAAAAAACUUCGUGGCAGUUCCAAAUUUGCGAACACAUUCCGAUAGUGAAAGUUUUGUUGAACUUUCCACGUCAGCAAGGUAAAUUAGAUUUGGAUAGUUUACGAUAUUUUUUUUUCAACUGAAAAUGCCAGCGCUGUCUAUUUAUUUUGAGUUUCAUUCAAUACUUCAAAGGCCUUGAGGUAGGCCGAUAAUCUCCUUCAACGUCGUAAUUAUGGUCGAGACUUGUGUGCAGCGUGUCGUGCCCCCACAGACAGCAACAUACCACGCGCAGGAAGGGAAAAAUAUCGAAAACGCGCAUUACCUCGGGUUCUUUUGAGCGAGAAGAUAAGGGAAGACCAAUGAUUGGAUGGAAUGUAAUAACUGAAUAUAACUGAAGAUAAUGCCAGAGGGGCCUUUAACUGACUACAAGAGGAAGCCUUCAAUCUUUGGCCCCAAAUGUCCGGUGAGGAAGACAACCAUUGUCACAAAAUGGACCAAAGGACAUGACCUUACAAGUGCCCUCCAGGGUCUGUGUACGUUUUGUUAUUUUGAUUUCCGAGUGAAAAUGGAGAGUGAAAAACAACAUCAAGUUAUUUUCUCACAAUGUAAAUUAUUGUGUGGAUUAUAAUUAACUGACAGUGUUGUAAGGGUUGAUGCCUUUUUUGUUAGGGCAAAUCAAGUCUGACAUUUUAAUGUAGAAAUUACAAACUUUAGAAGCCUUUUUUAAACCUUGAAUACAUUGCAAGUUUGCAUUUUCUGCUGUGCAGGACAUUUCCUGCAACAACAGGCUGAUCAAAUUAAGAUCCUACACCUGUAUACAUUUAUAGAUGUAGGCCAAUUGUCGUAGCAAAAGCCGCGUUCACAAUUGAAGAGAAUAGCACCCGUCUGCCUUUCAGUCAGCAGGAAAGGAUGUUGAUGAGCUAUAAACCAUAUCAAUAAAAAGGCUUAUUUUAA